GCCACCAAUUUCACACGAAGGGGCACCUGUUCCAGAGUUGAACAAGCACCCGGAUGGAGCUGGAGAACUCUGGAAGGCUGGUCAUAAAGAAUAAGCUUCGACUCCUUUUCAAAUGUCUACUUUUGGACUCCUUCAACGUCUUCAAGAAAUGUGGACUUCUGUUCAAGAUGGCGGAUGGCUCCUGAAUACCUCAGCAGAACUUGUGGCCUCUCUGUGACAUGACUGAAUAAAAAGGAAUGUACCAAAACUCA
This is a long non-coding RNA of Myotis davidii, 251 nucleotides long. RefSeq lists it as uncharacterized. The transcript has 3 exons. Lineage: Eukaryota; Metazoa; Chordata; Mammalia; Chiroptera; Vespertilionidae. The record is from RefSeq and is a predicted model, not a curated record.